UAGGGUAUAGCUCAGUGGUAGAGGACAUGCUUAGCAUGCACGAGGUCCUGGGUUCAGUCCCCAGUACCUUUA
RNAcentral lists this transfer RNA (72 nucleotides) under Camelus dromedarius (Arabian camel). It matches the Rfam family "tRNA". From Rfam's summary of the family: Transfer RNA (tRNA) molecules are approximately 80 nucleotides in length. Their secondary structure includes four short double-helical elements and three loops (D, anti-codon, and T loops). Lineage: Eukaryota; Metazoa; Chordata; Mammalia; Artiodactyla; Camelidae. RNAcentral also lists the same sequence under 1 other name. The record is from Rfam by way of RNAcentral.